GGUCAGAUGGCCGAGCGGUCUAAGGCGCUAGACUCAAGCGAUUCAAAGCUUUCCGGUUGAAAGACUGGGCGAGGUUUCUAGUAGAGUAAUCUGCGUGGGUUCGAAUCCCACUCUGAUCA
Delphinella strobiligena is the source of this 119-nucleotide non-coding RNA. The record is from the annotation of a GenBank genome assembly. Lineage: Eukaryota; Fungi; Ascomycota; Dothideomycetes; Dothideales; Dothioraceae.